GGAAUUUUGGGCAAUGGGCGAAAGCCUGACCCAGCAACGCCGCGUGAAGGAUGAAGUAUUGCGGUAUGUAAACUUCGAAAGAAUGGGAAGAAUAAAUGACGGGACCAUGUAUAAGGUCCGGCUAACUACGUGCCAGCAGCCGCGGUAAUACGUAGGGACCAAGCGUUGUUCGGAUUUCCUGGUCGUAAAGGGCGCGUAGGCGGCAAUUCAAGUCAGCUGUGAAAUCUCUGGGCUUAACCCAGAACGGCCAGCUGAUACUGCUUUGCUAGAGUGCAGAAGGGGCAAUCGGAAUUCUUGGUGUAGCGGUGAAAUGCGUAGAUAUCAAGAGGAACACCUGAGGUGAAGACGGGUUGCUGGGCUGACACUGACGCUGAGGCGCGAAAGCCAGGGGAGCAAA
This 397-nucleotide ribosomal RNA is filed under the name uncultured bacterium. Its description in RNAcentral is "bacterial SSU rRNA". It matches the Rfam family "Bacterial small subunit ribosomal RNA", at positions 358 to 772 of the family's 1533-position model. The record is from RNAcentral.